RNAcentral lists this ribosomal RNA (465 nucleotides) under uncultured bacterium. RNAcentral describes it as "partial 16S ribosomal RNA". It matches the Rfam family "Bacterial small subunit ribosomal RNA", at positions 338 to 795 of the family's 1533-position model. The record is from RNAcentral.
CCUACGGGAGGCAGCAGUAGGGAAUUUUCGUCAAUGGGCGCAAGCCUGAACGAGCAAUGCCGCAUGAACGAGGAAGGUCUUCGGAUCGUAAAGUUCUGUUGAAGGGGAAAAAGAGCGGAGAGAGGAAAUGGUCUCCGAUUGAUAUUACACUUCGAGGAAGUCACGGCUAACUACGUGCCAGCAGCCGCGGUAAUACGUAGGUGGCGAGCGUUAUCCGGAAUGAUUGGGCGUAAAGGGUGCGUAGGCGGCCUGCUAAUUCUGGAGUGAAAGGUACCGGCUCAACCGGUACAGGCUCUGGAAACUGGCGGGCUAGAGAGCAGGAGAGGGCGGUGGAACUCCAUGUGUAGCGGUAAAAUGCGUAGAUAUAUGGAAGAACACCAGUGGCGAAGGCGGCCGCCUGGCCUGUUGACUGACGCUGAGGCACGAAAGCGUGGGGAGCAAAUAGGAUUAGAUACCCCUGUAGUC